ACUCCUACGGGAGGCAGCAGUGGGGAAUAUUGGACAAUGGGGGGAACCCUGAUCCAGCCAUGCCGCGUGUGUGAAGAAGGCCUUUUGGUUGUAAAGCACUUUAAGCGAGGAGGAGGCUUACCUGGGUUAAUAACCCGGGAUAAGUGGACGUUACUCGCAGAAUAAGCACCGGCUAACUCUGUGCCAGCAGCCGCGGUAAUACAGAGGGUGCAAGCGUUAAUCGGAUUUACUGGGCGUAAAGCGCGCGUAGGUGGCUAAUUAAGUCAAAUGUGAAAUCCCCGAGCUUAACUUGGGAAUUGCAUUCGAUUAACU
RNAcentral lists this ribosomal RNA (312 nucleotides) under uncultured bacterium. RNAcentral describes it as "bacterial SSU rRNA". It matches the Rfam family "Bacterial small subunit ribosomal RNA", at positions 335 to 638 of the family's 1533-position model. The record is from RNAcentral.